GCUUACGGCCAUACCAGCCUGAAUACGCCCGAUCUCGUCCGAUCUCGGAAGCUAAGCAGGGUCGGGCCUGGUUAGUACUUGGAUGGGAGACCGCCUGGGAAUACCAGGUGCUGUAAGCG
Hucho hucho (huchen) is the source of this 119-nucleotide ribosomal RNA. NCBI's taxonomy places the organism in Eukaryota, Metazoa, Chordata, Actinopteri, Salmoniformes, Salmonidae. The record is from Ensembl.